Long non-coding RNA from Salvia splendens (bonfire salvia), 2591 nucleotides. RefSeq lists it as uncharacterized. The transcript is spliced from 3 exons. Lineage: Eukaryota; Viridiplantae; Streptophyta; Magnoliopsida; Lamiales; Lamiaceae. The record is from RefSeq and is a predicted model, not a curated record.
CUCCCAUUUACUUUUUUUUUUGUAGGUUUCGAUCGACAGCUGAUCGUCGAUCUCGUUAUGUAUAUUCGGCGUUUGUGUUCACCUUCGAUUUUCUGCUGCCUGCUUUUCUAUUUGGCCGAAUCUACGGCCGAUCGAUGAAGAUUUUAUAAUUUUUCUUCUGAUCCUCCGUUUGAAUUUACGUUGGGCUGAUUUUUGUUCGCUUUUCUGCUUAGAUGAAGCUCGGAGAGAUCUGUUUUUUCAGCAAUCAGCUGAUUCGGUGAAAUUUGUCCAUUGAUCUGGCCAUGGUAAACGAUCUUAUUCAUGCUCAGCCGAGCACGAGAGGCUUUCCAUACCUGAAAUUGUCAUUCAUCGUCUCAAAAACUGGUGAAACUUUAUUGGUUAAACAACGAGAGAAGUCCAAGGUGCGGGUCGCCAUUUGUAUAAAUGGAACUCUAGGUAGUGUUGUAGUCGUAUGUAAAAAAAAGUGAGGAGUGAUGUUUGAGACUCUGAGAGAAGAUGAGUGGGUGAGCUUAUCGGCCUUUACCAUGUUGGGUGCGCUCGCAUGGUAGGUCACCACAUAAUAAAAGCUAUUUUUUGUGUUUAGAGGGGAGAUGGUACGGUGAUUUGCCCGGCUCUCCUCUCUUGUGUGCGGUGUCCUUCGUUUUUUUGCUUCUCUUCUUUACCCAUAUCCCCUUCGCCAUCAUCUAGUUCAGCACUUAUAACUCCGUCAAACAGUUUCAGUGUUUGGUGGCUUUGAAUGGUAAAAUUUUGAGCCAUUCAUUCAAGACCAAAACAUGAUAUAAAUCGACGCAAAUGAACUCCCUCAGGGUUGGGGCCGACGAAUUCACCUAUAAGGUACAAAUUAGCACUCUGCCUCUUUACGUUGUUAAUUUUCUUCUAACCGUGUCUCUAAGUUAUCCAGUGAUUCAAUAAGGCAUCAGUUAUAAUUACGCACUCUACUAUCCAUCAAUAGUCUUCAAUUUAUCCACUACUGUAAAUGAUCUGAUUUACCAAACCUCAAGUCUGAAAACAGUUACUCAAUCAGAGCCGAACUAGACAAAUUUUCUUUGCAGAGGGCAAUUAAUUUCUGAAUUUCAUCCAUCCUUUUCCGGAAUCCACUACACACCACACAUGAAAUAAUUGCACGUUCAUGCACCACAACAAGAAGCACAACAAGUGCAUGAUUGCAGGCUCAUGUCACAGUUCCUUCUUGCAUGUGAACUUAUAAAUUGUCAAUCAGUUAAAUUCAACUAUAUAUUGUCUCUUCCUGCAUUCCAAUCAUAUUCAAUGACUCGAUGUGUCUGUUUGUCUACAAGGUUGUACAUUUUGAACAGUAUGGUUUUACUCCUUUUGCUUUCCCUCAAAGUUAAUGACUCAAUAUAUAUGUCUGUUUGUUUACAAAGUUGUACACUUGAACACUAUGGUUUCAGCUAUCUUAAGCUAUUAUUUCUUGUAAUAUAUUAAGACAGUUGUGGUGAUUUGAUCUGUUGGUUUACCUCUAUUAGUUUUUUAUUUGGAUGGAUCUUAUAGCUUUUAGGUAGUGUCCAUGUAAUUCCUUAUGCUGUGAAGGCACGGCCUUUUACUUUACUAAUGUAUUAGCUACCUGGUUGUGAACCAUAUUACUUUCAAGGCUCUGCUGUUUCUUAGAGAAAGGCGCUGAUGAAGUUAAUGAGAAGUAGUUUAUUUUCCAAACUAAGAUGAUGGAAUCUAGACUGAUUCCACAGUUGGAUAUGGAAUAUGCUGGUACUGCUAAAUGAGGUUCUGAUAUUGAAGGGACCAUCUCAAGAGUGAUUGGUGGUUUGUUUUUGAGUUUAUGAAGAUAUUUUGCCCAUUGAAUAGAUGAUUUCUCAACCGUGACUUAUUGCAUAUUUUCAAGAAUAUGAAUAUUCCAUAGUUUGAAGAUUUUUCUCCCAUCAACUGUUGCUGAGGUUCUUUGGAACUUGUUAGCUCUUUUGGCUGAAUUGAUUCCUUCAAUCUAUUCAACUGCUAGUUGGCGUUAAGCUUUCCUCUUGUUUCUGCUUCUGACUGUAAACACUGUUCAGCUGGCCAAGCGUGACUUAUGAUGAUGAUAGCAGCUGCUGGGCUUGAGAAUACAGCAGUGCCCUUUGCUCCACUGCAUUGUAACAGUGCCAGCAAUUGUGAGAACAAGUUAUUAGUUCAUAUCAAAUACAACCGGAUGUGUAAAAGAAUCUUGAAGUGGAAAAUGAAGUUGCAAAUUGUCAUUCAAGAAGAUUGAAGUGUGAAAUAUGAACAAAUGGGAAAUUAAGGCUGAGCUCCAUUUCUGGAGUACUAGUGUAUUCGAUGUGAAGUUGAUCAGUGAGCUGCUCUUUGUGAAGAAAUUGAUCCAAAGGUUAUGCUGCGUUUGGUAUGAUUUCUGGAUCUAUGUUCUCGAAAGUGGUAAAAACUGGUGAGAAGUUUUGUUUUGAUAUAUGGAUGGAUUCAUGAGCUCAGAAAUGGUAGAGCGCUCAAUCACCCAGAGGGUGCAUUGGGAGGAUGGUGGUUCAAUUCCACCUGGAUCCCUUACUUUGUAGUAUUAUUAAAUAGACUAAAGUUCAAUUUUAGUCUCAUACUUUAAGUUUGUGAUUUUUUGGUCCAUAACAUAUUGUUUUUUA